Daktulosphaira vitifoliae (grape phylloxera) is the source of this 3430-nucleotide long non-coding RNA. RefSeq lists it as uncharacterized. The record is from RefSeq and is a predicted model, not a curated record. NCBI's taxonomy places the organism in Eukaryota, Metazoa, Arthropoda, Insecta, Hemiptera, Phylloxeridae. The transcript has 3 exons.
CUGAAAACUGUUGUGUGUGUAUGUGAGUAACUUUUUAAUUUUUAAUCACCAAUAACGCAAUCUUAUUUUUGAAUACAGGGACUUUUAAGAAGAUUAUUUAGAAUGUUUAAUAAAAAUUGCAAGAGCCAUAAAUAUUGAAUGAUGAAAAUUGAUAAAAUAUGAAAAAAGUUUAUGAAGUUUUCAAUAUUUUAAGUGCACAAACGAGAAGACGGCGAAAAAAAAAAAUCAAGCGAAUGAGAGAACAGAAAGAAAAUCGCGCUUCUCAUAGUAUAUUCAGUCAAGUGACGUAAAAAGCUUUUAGCUCUUGUAGCUUUCCACCUCCCACUCCGCGGCCGUUAACCGUUUUGCCGGACUCAUUUACCCUCAUUUUGUCUGGACGUGGAACAGUCGGAGUGUGGUGGUAAAGAAAACAGGGAACCUUUUUAAAAAUGAAGGGAUUUACUGGAUACGAGGAGCUCUGGAAGGCAUACAGCCAUAUAAUCGAGAGAAAUGGUUCGGUUGCUACUACCGUCUCUGCUCGUACAUUGACUUCUUAAUGGAACCAGCUUAGUCUUGUGUUGGCUAACAUAACCCUACGUCUUCGGCCAUAUAGAGCAUGCGUUGAGGAGGUAAGGAGAGAGAGCCUUCACCUCCGCGUGCGUGUUAUGUUUAUUGCAUAUAUGCCUUCGGGACCGACAGCCAUUAACUUUUGUCAUUUCGCCCUCAGUUUUUUUUUGGACCUUCUUAUAUAAAAUAUUAUAUAUAUAUACGCGUGUGUAUUUGCUAGCAGCGGAGAGAGUGUGUGUGAUAGUGCGUUCAUUUAUCGUCAGCUCAAACGGAUUACAUUUUUCUCUAUGUUUUUUUUCUCAUUGUCUUUUUUGCCUUCUUUUACGUCCACCCUUCACUCUUAACUCUUCCCCUUUACAGCCACACCGGCCCAACUGUUUAGAAAACAUAUAACACCAUUGCGACGACGUCUAGGUUUAUGGCAAUAUUCGGAAGUGAGAAAAAAUAACAGCUCGCUUCUAAUUUCGGUAUCGACUACGUAGAAAAAUAAAUUGUACAUAUUUCCAGAUCUUCCGAGAGUUGGUUUUUUUCUCGUUCUAUUUUUCAUACUCGCCAAUCACAAACAUUCGAUCGUUAUACCGUACAAAUGUUUAUACCCAACCGUAUAGUGUAGUCUGUCAUAAAGUUUGUUACACGUGUAUGGUGUAAUGUUUCUCAUAAGACGAACGAACGUGACCAAGUCCGUGUUUGUUUAGAGGAUUUAAUAAAUCCAGUUGUUUAUACAUUUUUUAAUUUCAGGUCAUGCUUUGAUACACACACGCGUUAAUUUCAUUGUUAAAGACUAGUUAAAAUUUCUUAAUAUUUACUGUAGAACGACAGCAAUAAUCGAACGGUUAGUUUUAUGAAACGUUUGUUUUUUAUAGAAACCUCUUCCAUUUAAGGUUUGUUGUCAUUUCGUUGAUGCCGGUAACCUAUUGCGGCACUAAGCGCAUAAUGAUAAUGUUAUUGAAACGUUAUCGGAUGAGGAACGUUAACGAUAUUUAUUUACUAAAUCUCUUUUCUCUCAACGCAAUUACGUACUACGUCUACGCAAUAAUAAUCCCUCCAGAAUCGACGACGUUAAUCAGCGAAUGUAAACAGUAUACGGGAAGGUUUUUUUAUCUUUACCGCAAAAUCGUUUUUUUUUUUUAAUGUAUCAGACCCGAAAAAAUAGGGUUUGUCAGCGAUUAGUCCGGUAACGGAAGAGAUGGCACACACAGACCGAUCAAUAUGUGUUCCAGUAUAAUUUAUAUAUGUAUUUGCGUCGGAGUAAAAAAAUAAAACAAAAUAAAUAAAAGAAUCGUUUUAAUUCGAGAGUUUGAUAGUGGUAUGUGCGCAGCCAAUAAAUCUCCAAUGCCUAAUAUAGUACACAAGCAGAAAAUAGCAGCGACGUCCUAUGCACACGAGACGUAUAUAACCGAUAAAGCACACCGAUGUUGGAUGGCAUUUCGGGAGUAUGAGACGGAGAGAGGAAGAGUAAAAAAAAAAAAAGAACCGAAGGGAUUCUGUUAGAAAAAAAUGUCCUCGGGGAGUCGUCGGAAUCGGUUGAUUGUCCUUACCCUUCGCGACGGCAGCGGUGGCGUAUCUAAUCCCUUGCCCGACUAUGGUUUUCAGUACAAGUGUAGUGUAUACACAUAUAGAUACGAAUGUGCGUGUGGAUGUAAGUGUACGGCUGAUGUCCAAAAUCGCUCCCUCGAUCUACUUACCCGCGUCCUCCACUUGCCAUCGUUAAACUCCUCUGCCACGCAUACCAUGACCGGCGGUGGGUUUAUUUUCGCCAUUGGUCACGUAAAUAGUUAAUGGUUCGGAAAAAUAAAGGCGACAAAGAAAACAACACAUUCGUCCGGGAAAACAUACGGUUCGAACGAGAAAGACAGAAAAAACGGAUUGUUGUAGUUGACCCGGUGGCCGCGGUUUUUUACUGUUUGUUCGGGUAGUCUCUCUGUUUUUCUACGAGUAACAAAAUUAAUGAGAAAAAUGACCCAAAAGAAAGCGAAAUAUCUGUGGAAAACGCACGGAAGACGAAAAACGAAGAAAAUUAUGUUUAUAUGUAUAUACUGGUUUAUUAUAAAACUUUUUUAUUUUUUUUAAGAAACAAAUAGUUUGAUUUUGCCAAUUUUCGCGUUAAAUACAGUAAAUACUACAUUUCACAGAAAAUAAUAUUGUAUUUUAUUCCGCAUGAGCAUAAUUUAACGGGCAUUAACGAACUAAAGAUAUUUUUUGUACUCAGGAUCCAUUCGCCAAUGACUAUAAGUGAUCUGGUUCGUCAAGUGCUUCGGCGACGCGAUUGUCGAACAAAGUGUUCUCCCGUUUCAAUAUUUUGUCCAGAAUUAUUCAUCUGAGGCAACGAAAAUAGGGUGCAAAUUAAAUUACUAGCCCACAUCUUAUACAUGCUAAAAAGCCAUUGAGCACCUGCGAUCGCACGUUCUUCUCCCUAACAACCUACGUGACACCUGAGCUCACAAUAUUUUAUUAUUACCAUAAAAGCACGUAGUGCAACGUGUAAUUUUCGCGUAACAAUAUUUAUACUGGUAAAUCAUCUAAACAAAAAAAAGAUAAUUAUUUUAGCCGCGAUCGUUGCUUUACUAUCAAUACCUAUUAUGAUAUUCUCGAGAAAGCGCACAUCAGCAUUGCAACGUUGGAUUUCGUUUUAUUUUUUAUUCUCACACAAUUUAUACCUUUGUGUAUUUAUACAAUAUAUAUAUACACAUCUUUGUGUGCGAGUGCGUUUACGAUUCCUUAUAUACAUACAAAUACAUUGGCGGUCUUAGAAUAAACUCACAUAUAUACGUAUUUAUGAGUCACGGAUGUGUAUAUUAAAUUUAAAAGUUCAACGAAACCACUUUGCACCCCAGAAUAUUGCUUAUAUUAUAUACUUUGUACUUACGUGAAUGUUGCCAUUGAU